Molecule: ribosomal RNA, 465 nt
Filed under: uncultured bacterium
Lineage: Bacteria
Description: partial 16S ribosomal RNA
Rfam family: Bacterial small subunit ribosomal RNA
Source: RNAcentral
ACGCACGCUGGCGGUGUGCUUCACACAUGCAAGUCGCACGGUAAGGCCCUUUCGGGGGUACACGAGUGGCGAACGGGUGAGUAACACGUGAGUAACCUGCCCUCAUCUCUGGGAUAACAGUCGGAAACGGUUGCUAAUACUGGAUAUGAGCUUGCAAGGCAUCUUGUGGGUUGGAAAGAUUUUUUUGGUUGGGGAUGGACUCGCGGCCUAUCAGCUUGUUGGUGAGGUAGUGGCUCACCAAGGCUUCGACGGGUAGCCGGCCUGAGAGGGCGACCGGCCACAUUGGGACUGAGAUACGGCCCAAACUCCUACGGGAGGCAGCAGUGGGGAAUAUUGCACAAUGGACGGAAGUCUGAUGCAGCAACGCCGCGUGCGGGAUGACGGCCUUCGGGUUGUAAACCGCUUUCAAUUGUGACGAAGCUUUUUGUGACGGUAGCAGUAGAAGAAGCACCGGCUAACUACGUG